This 179-nucleotide non-coding RNA is filed under the name Lachnospiraceae bacterium. RNAcentral describes it as "6S RNA". It matches the Rfam family "6S / SsrS RNA". Rfam says of the family: E. coli 6S RNA was the first non coding RNA to be sequenced, but its function was unknown until recently. Lineage: Bacteria; Bacillati; Bacillota; Clostridia; Lachnospirales; Lachnospiraceae. The record is from RNAcentral.
GAACUUCUGGGGUGUUCGGCAACUCUUGUAAUUUUGAACCUACAUUUAUUUUUAUGGGAUACCGAUAUUUACUUGAAGAUGUCAGGCCGGCAUGAAUCGGAAGACAGAGGCAUGUGUGAGGUUGCCCACCUAGCUUGGCUAGGAGUCAAAAUACAGGAAUCGGCAUCGCCGGUUGUUCU